This 497-nucleotide ribosomal RNA is filed under the name uncultured bacterium. Its description in RNAcentral is "partial 16S ribosomal RNA". It matches the Rfam family "Bacterial small subunit ribosomal RNA", at positions 28 to 507 of the family's 1533-position model. The record is from RNAcentral.
GAUGAACGCUGGCGGCGUGCCUAAUACAUGCAAGUCGAGCGAACAGACGAGGAGCUUGCUCCUCUGACGUUAGCGGCGGACGGGUGAGUAACACGUGGAUAACCUACCUAUAAGACUGGGAUAACUUCGGGAAACCGGAGCUAAUACCGGAUAAUAUAUUGAACCGCAUGGUUCAAUAGUUAAAGACGGUUUUGCUGUCACUUAUAGAUGGAUCCGCGCCGCAUUAGCUAGUUGGUAAGGUAACGGCUUACCAAGGCAACGAUGCGUAGCCGACCUGAGCGGGUGAUCGGCCACACUGGAACUGAGACACGGUCCAGACUCCUACGGGAGGCAGCAGUAGGGAAUCUUCCGCAAUGGGCGAAAGCCUGACGGAGCAACGCCGCGUGAGUGAUGAAGGUCUUCGGAUCGUAAAACUCUGUUAUUAGGGAAGAACAAAUGUGUAAGUAACUAUGCACGUCUUGACGGUACCUAAUCAGAAAGCCACGGCUAACUACGUG